This 253-nucleotide ribosomal RNA is filed under the name uncultured bacterium. Its description in RNAcentral is "partial 16S ribosomal RNA". It matches the Rfam family "Bacterial small subunit ribosomal RNA", at positions 524 to 776 of the family's 1533-position model. The record is from RNAcentral.
UACGUAGGGUGCAAGCGUUGUUCGGAAUCAUUGGGCGUAAAGCGCGUGUAGGUGGUUAUGUAAGUCGGGUGUGAAAUCCCUGGGCUCAACCGAGGAAGUGCAUCCGAAACUACAUAGCUAGAGGACGGUAGAGGAAGGUGGAAUUCCUAGUGUAGAGGUGAAAUUCGUAGAUAUUAGGAGGAAUACCGGUGGCGAAGGCGGCCUUCUGGGCCGUUCCUGACACUGAGACGCGAAAGCGUGGGUAGCAAACAGG